CGGACGGGUGAGUAAUGCCUAGGAAAUUGCCCUGAUGUGGGGAUAACCAUUGGAAACGAUGGCUAAUACCGCAUAACAGCUUCGGCUCAAAGAGGGGGACCUUCGGCCUCUCGCGUCAGGAUAUGCCUAGGUGGGAUUAGCUAGUUGGUGAGGUAAAGGCUCACCCAAGGCGACGAUCCCUAGCUGGUCUGAGAGGAUGAUCAGCCACACUGGAACUGAGACACGGUCCAGACUCCUACGGGAGGCAGCAGUGGGGAAUAUUGCACAAUGGGCGCAAGCCUGAUGCAGCCAUGCCGCGUGUGUGAAGAAGGCCUUCGGGUUGUAAAGCACUUUCAGUCGUGAGGAAGGCGGCGUCGUUAAUAGCGGCGUUGUUUGACGUUAGCGACAGAAGAAGCACCGGCUAACUCCGUG
This 411-nucleotide ribosomal RNA is filed under the name uncultured Vibrio sp. Its description in RNAcentral is "bacterial SSU rRNA". It matches the Rfam family "Bacterial small subunit ribosomal RNA", at positions 99 to 507 of the family's 1533-position model. Lineage: Bacteria; Pseudomonadati; Pseudomonadota; Gammaproteobacteria; Vibrionales; Vibrionaceae. The record is from RNAcentral.